Molecule: ribosomal RNA, 480 nt
Filed under: uncultured marine eukaryote
Lineage: Eukaryota
Description: SSU rRNA
Rfam family: Eukaryotic small subunit ribosomal RNA
Source: RNAcentral
AUUCCAGCUCCAAUAGCGUAUAUUAAAGUUGUUGCAGUUAAAAAGCUCGUAGUUGGAUUUCUGGUGGGAGCGAUCGGUCUGGCGCUUAGCGCGAGUACUUGCAUCGUCUCCGGCCAUCCUUGGGGAGAGUCUGUCUGGCAUUAAGUUGUCGGGCAGAGGAUCCUCAUCGUUUACUGUGAAAAAUUAGAGUGUUCAAAGCAGGCUUAUGCCGUUGAAUAUAUUAGCAUGGGAAUAAUAAGAUAGGACUUUGGUACUAUUUUGUUGGUUUGCGCACCAAAGUAAUGAUUAAUAGGGACAGUUGGGGUAUUCGUAUUCCGUUGUCAGAGGUGAAAUUCUUGGAUUUUACGGAAGACGAACUACUGCGAAAGCAUUUUACCAAGGAUGUUUUUCAUUAAUCAAGAACGAAAGUUAGGGGAUCGAAGAUGAUCAGAUACCAUCGUAGUCUUAACCAUAAACUAUGCCGACUCGGGAUUGGCGGGC